AUUGAACGCUGGCGGCAGGCUUAACACAUGCAAGUCGAACGGUAGCAGGAGAAAGCUUGCUUUCUUGCUGACGAGUGGCGGACGGGUGAGUAAUGCUUGGGAAUCUGGCUUAUGGAGGGGGAUAACUACGGGAAACUGUAGCUAAUACCGCGUAGAAUCGGAAGAUGAAAGUGCGGGACCGCAAGGCCGCAUGCCAUGAGAUGAGCCCAAGUGGGAUUAGGUAGUUGGUGGGGUAAGGGCCUACCAAGCCUGCGAUCUCUAGCUGGUCUGAGAGGAUGGCCAGCCACACUGGAGGUGAGACGCGGUCCAGACUCCUACGGGAGGCAGCGGUGGGGAAUAUUGCGCAAUGGGGGGAACCCUGACGCAGCCAUGCCGCGUGAAUGAAGAAGGCCUUCGGGUUGUAAAGUGCUUUCGGUAUUGAGGAAGGUUGAUGUGUUAAUAGUACAUCAAAUGGACGUUAAAUAAAGAAGAAGCACCGGCUAACUCGGU
RNAcentral lists this ribosomal RNA (489 nucleotides) under uncultured bacterium. RNAcentral's name for it is "partial 16S ribosomal RNA". It matches the Rfam family "Bacterial small subunit ribosomal RNA", at positions 30 to 506 of the family's 1533-position model. The record is from RNAcentral.